This 255-nucleotide ribosomal RNA is filed under the name uncultured bacterium. Its description in RNAcentral is "partial 16S ribosomal RNA". It matches the Rfam family "Bacterial small subunit ribosomal RNA", at positions 524 to 776 of the family's 1533-position model. The record is from RNAcentral.
UACGUAGGGGGGCAAGCGUUGUCCGGAUUUAUUGGGCGUAAAGAGCUCGUAGGCGGUCUGUCGCGUCGGCUGUGAAAACCCCGGGGCUCAACCCCGGGCCUGCAGUCGAUACGGGCAGACUAGAGUGCGGUAGGGGAGACUGGAAUUCCUGGUGUAGCGGUGAAAUGCGCAGAUAUCAGGAGGAACACCGGUGGCGAAGGCGGGUCUCUGGGCCGUAACUGACGCUGAGGAGCGAAAGCGUGGGGAGCGAACAGG